RNAcentral lists this small RNA (86 nucleotides) under Flavobacterium fluvii. RNAcentral's name for it is "Flavobacterium sp. H7 Flavo-1 RNA". It matches the Rfam family "Flavo-1 RNA". Lineage: Bacteria; Pseudomonadati; Bacteroidota; Flavobacteriia; Flavobacteriales; Flavobacteriaceae. The record is from Rfam by way of RNAcentral.
CCUCAACCGCGUGAGGGAUAGCAGUGAAAAUCCUUUAUGUUUUUCCUUUAAAAACAUAAAGAUUGCAACGAAUAGCCCGACCCGUA